GUCGUAACAAGGUUUCCGUAGGUGAACCUGCGGAAGGAUCAUUACCACACACAACAAUGGAUGGCUAGACCACAAGGGUCCCUGCGCGCAGCGCUCAGUCUACCUCUUGGUCGCCAUUCACUCAACACCGGUUAACUGUUUACCCUAUAGCGCUGUGAUGCCUGCGCUGGCCAUCGGUUGGCUGAAGUCGGCAUCAAACCCCUUUUUUUCAACUCAAUACUAAUCAUUACUCUGAAACAUAAGAGAGGGUGCUGAGGCUCGCUUUGCGUGACUCUGGCCCCUCUCAGAAACUAGUUGUAAUACUGUACAACUUUCAGCAACGGAUAUCUUGGCUCCCA
This 338-nucleotide unclassified non-coding RNA is filed under the name fungal sp. Its description in RNAcentral is "partial internal transcribed spacer region". The stretch from base 1 to 44 matches the Rfam family "Eukaryotic small subunit ribosomal RNA", at positions 1788 to 1831 of the family's 1831-position model. The record is from RNAcentral. Lineage: Eukaryota; Fungi.